UUUCGAUGGUAGUGUAUUGGACUACCAUGGCUCUCACGGGUAACAGGGAAUUAGGGUUCGAUUCUGGAGAAGGAGCCUGAGAAACGGCUACUACAUCUACGGAAGGCAGCAGGCGCGUAAAUUACCCAAUCCUGAAUCAGGGAGGUGGUGACAAGAUAUAACAACGAGACCUUAAAUCUCGAUUGUAGUGAGGGUUUUCUAAAUAGAACCUAUAGUACGAUUAGAGGGCAAGUCUGGUGCCAGCAGCCGCGGUAAUUCCAGCUCUAAUAGCGUAUAUUAAAGUUGCUGCAGUUAAAAAGCUCGUAGUUGGAUUUCAAGGUUUGUAUUCUCUACCGGGAAUACACCCUACUAGUCAUUGACUGUUACUGUGAGAAAAUUAGAGUGUUUCAAGCAGGCUUUUGCAAGAAUACAUUAGCAUGGAAUAACGAAUGUAUUUAGAAUCGUGGUUUAAUUCUAAAUUACGAUUAAUAGAGACAGUUGGGGGCAUCAGUAUUUAAUUGUCAGAGGUGAAAUUCUUGGAUUUGUUAAAGACUAACGUAUGCGAAAGCAUUUGCCAAGGAUGUCUUCAUUAAUCGAGGACGAAAGAUAGGGGAUCAAAGACAAUCAGAUACUGUCGUAGUCCUAUCUAUA
RNAcentral lists this ribosomal RNA (630 nucleotides) under uncultured rumen protozoa. Its description in RNAcentral is "SSU rRNA". It matches the Rfam family "Eukaryotic small subunit ribosomal RNA", at positions 320 to 1034 of the family's 1831-position model. The record is from RNAcentral.